This 253-nucleotide ribosomal RNA is filed under the name uncultured bacterium. Its description in RNAcentral is "partial 16S ribosomal RNA". It matches the Rfam family "Bacterial small subunit ribosomal RNA", at positions 524 to 776 of the family's 1533-position model. The record is from RNAcentral.
UACGAAGGGGGCUAGCGUUGCUCGGAAUUACUGGGCGUAAAGGGAGCGUAGGCGGGUCGUCAAGUUGGGGGUGAAAGCCCAGGGCUCAACCCUGGAACUGCCUUCAAAACUGGCGACCUAGAGUAUGGUAGAGGUGUGUGGAACUCCGAGUGUAGAGGUGAAAGUCGUAGAUAUUCGGAAGAACACCAGUGGCGAAGGCGACACACUGGGCCAUUACUGACGCUGAGGCUCGAAAGCGUGGGGAGCAAACAGG